GGUAAAAAAGGGCAAACUAUCUGAAAAGAUAGGACGCAAAGCUAUGGGUCUAAAGCAUUUAAUGUAAGAUCGCCAGGCUGCCAAA
Molecule: non-coding RNA, 85 nt
Filed under: Gracilibacter sp.
Lineage: Bacteria; Bacillati; Bacillota; Clostridia; Eubacteriales; Gracilibacteraceae
Description: c-di-GMP sequence
Rfam family: c-di-GMP-I riboswitch aptamer
About the family: GEMM was predicted in a large-scale screen for bacterial structured RNA regulatory elements. Genes associated with GEMM are involved in a diverse array of functions, including chemotaxis regulation, signal transduction, secretion and chitin.
Source: RNAcentral